Molecule: long non-coding RNA, 699 nt
Filed under: Ailuropoda melanoleuca (giant panda)
Lineage: Eukaryota; Metazoa; Chordata; Mammalia; Carnivora; Ursidae
Description: lncRNA (ENSAMEG00000025883.1)
Source: RNAcentral
UAUAAAACAUUUUUAAAAUCAGAAAAGGCUGCACUUCUCGAGUUUCCUGCCUCUGAGGAGAAGGGCAAAGAAUGUUUUUAGAAGACCCCACUUACUCACCCAGCCCUUGCGCAGUUUGGGGAACUAAGAGCCAGGGCGAACGUGAGGAAGCGCAGAGAGGAAGCACAUGGACGCCGGCUCUCUGCCCACACCGCGGUGAGACCCAGAGGGCGCGCUGUCCCCGGCAGGAGCCGCGUGCGCGCCCCCGCCCGCAAACCUCCGAGGUGGGCGAGGCGGGGAUGCUGUGGGCGGGGCCUGGCGGGGCGGGGCCACGGGCGAGGCUGCGGGGUAGGAGGCAGAGAGAGCGGAGCCGCGGUCCGCCCGCGCAGCGAGCGCUGAGCGUGGCCAGUGAGGGCCUCUUUGGGGUGCCGCGCGGUAGCGCACCCUUCUGCGUCCCGGCGGCCAGAACGUUGCUGCAGCGCUUUCUCUCGAUGCCGAGCGAGCCCCAGGCACCCUCGCCGGCCACACUUCUUUCUCACGGUGGAUGAGGUCGCCUGCAGAUCCGGGCUGGACCUUAUAGGCUGCCCAGGUGGAGUGCUGUUCUCCAUUUCAAGAUGCCUUUGCAGAUUUGAUAAAUGCAAACUAACAACUCUCAAGGCCGUGACAGAAGAGAAACCAUGACUGCUUGAAGCCUGGAGGACUGCCCUUAAUUAAGGAAAA